AACGAACGCUGGCGGCAGGCCUAACACAUGCAAGUCGAGCGCCCUUUCGGGGGAGCGGCGGACGGGUGAGUAACGCGUGGGAAUAUGCCCUUCUCUACGGAAUAGCCUCGGGAAACUGAGAGUAAUACCGUAUACGCCCUGUGGGGGAAAGAUUUAUCGGGGAAGGAUUAGCCCGCGUUGGAUUAGGUAGUUGGUGGGGUAAUGGCCUACCAAGCCGACGAUCCAUAGCUGGUUUGAGAGGAUGAUCAGCCACACUGGGACUGAGACACGGCCCAGACUCCUACGGGAGGCAGCAGUGGGGAAUCUUAGACAAUGGGGGCAACCCUGAUCUAGCCAUGCCGCGUGAGUGAUGAAGGCCUUAGGGUUGUAAAGCUCUUUCAGCUGGGAAGAUAAUGACGGUACCAGCAGAAGAACCCCCGGCUAACUCCGUG
Molecule: ribosomal RNA, 431 nt
Filed under: uncultured bacterium
Lineage: Bacteria
Description: partial 16S ribosomal RNA
Rfam family: Bacterial small subunit ribosomal RNA
Source: RNAcentral